Molecule: ribosomal RNA, 254 nt
Filed under: uncultured bacterium
Lineage: Bacteria
Description: partial 16S ribosomal RNA
Rfam family: Bacterial small subunit ribosomal RNA
Source: RNAcentral
UACGUAGGGUGCGAGCGUUGUCCGGAAUUAUUGGGCGUAAAGAGCUCGUAGGCGGUGUGUCGCGUCGGCCGUGAAAACCUGGGGCUCAACUCUGGGCGUGCGGUCGAUACGGGCAUCACUAGAGUUCGGCAGGGGAGACUGGAAUUCCUGGUGUAGCGGUGAAAUGCGCAGAUAUCAGGAGGAACACCGGUGGCGAAGGCGGGUCUCUGGGCCGAUACUGACGCUGAGACGCGAAAGCGUGGGGAGCGAACAGG